RNAcentral lists this ribosomal RNA (253 nucleotides) under uncultured bacterium. RNAcentral describes it as "partial 16S ribosomal RNA". It matches the Rfam family "Bacterial small subunit ribosomal RNA", at positions 524 to 776 of the family's 1533-position model. The record is from RNAcentral.
GACGUAGGGCGCGAGCGUUGUCCGGAUUUAUUGGGCGUAAAGAGCUCGUAGGCGGCUUGUUGCGUCGACUGUGAAAACCCGCGGCUUAACUGCGGGCUUGCAGUUGAUACGGGCAGGCUAGAGUUCGGUAGGGGAGACUGGAAUUCCUGGUGUAGCGGUGGAAUGCGCAGAUAUCAGGAGGAACACCGGUGGCGAAGGCGGGUCUCUGGGCAGUAACUGACGCUGAGGAGCGAAAGCGUGGGGAGCGAACAGG